AAACAAUUAAUAAAUUUAAGAAGACUCUCCACCUUCCCUAACAAUACUACAAAUAAUGCUAGGUUAAAGCGACGAAUGAAAAUGGUGGUAAGGAGAGGAGGAGCGCAAAUUAUGUGUCUUCAAGACCUACUUGACAAACUUCAAGCUCAAGAUCAGCGUCUGCGAACAUUGUGUCAGUUCCGACAAGCUAGGUUUCGAAGGAAACAAUUAAUUAAUUUAAGAAGAGUCUCCACCUUCCCAAACAAUACUACAAAUAAUGGUAUUUAGUUACUGUUAUUCUAUUUUGUUCUUAUGAUUUAAAUUUAAAGAUGCCUUGAUUUUCUAUUUC
Molecule: long non-coding RNA, 328 nt
Organism: Cicer arietinum (chickpea)
Lineage: Eukaryota; Viridiplantae; Streptophyta; Magnoliopsida; Fabales; Fabaceae
Source: RefSeq, a predicted model, not a curated record